Molecule: ribosomal RNA, 801 nt
Filed under: uncultured Gemmatimonadota bacterium
Lineage: Bacteria; Pseudomonadati; Gemmatimonadota
Description: bacterial SSU rRNA
Rfam family: Bacterial small subunit ribosomal RNA
Source: RNAcentral
UCGAGCGAGAAGGGCUUCGGCCCUGAGUACAGCGGCAGACGGGUGAGUAAUACGUAGGUAACCUUCCGUUUUGUGGGGGACAACGGUCCGAAAGGACCGCUAAUACCGCAUACGUCUCUCGGUGCUUCGGCACUGGGAGGGAAAGCCUCGCAAGGGGCGCAGAAUGAGGGGCCUAUGUCGCAUCAGCUAGUUGGUGGGGUAAUGGCCUACCAAGGCGAAGACGCGUAGCUGGUCUGAGAGGAUGAUCAGCCACACUGGGACUGAGAGACGGCCCAGACUCCUACGGGAGGCAGCAGUGGGGAAUCUUGCGCAAUGGCCGAAAGGCUGACGCAGCGACGCCGCGUGUGGGAGGAAGCUCUUCGGGGUGUAAACCACUGUUGCCCGGGACGAACAUCUCCUUUCGAGGGGACUGACGGUACCGGGUGAGGAAGCACCGGCUAACUCUGUGCCAGCAGCCGCGGUAAUACAGAGGGUGCGAGCGUUGUCCGGAAUCACUGGGCGUAAAGGGCGCGUAGGCGGCUCAGUAAGGUUGCGGUGAAAGCCCGGGGCUCAACCCCGGGUCGGCCGUGGCAACUGCUGGGCUGGAGCACUGUAGAGGCAGGUGGAAUUCCGGGUGUAGCGGUGGAAUGCGUAGAGAUCCGGAAGAACACCGGUGGCGAAGCGGCCUGCUGGGCAGUAGCUGACGCUGAUGCGCGACAGCGUGGGGAGCAAACAGGAUUAGAUACCCCGGUAGUCCUGGCCGUAAACGUUGGGCACUAGUGUUGGAGGCAUCGACCUCUCCAGUGCCGCAGCUAACGCAUU